RNAcentral lists this ribosomal RNA (237 nucleotides) under uncultured bacterium. RNAcentral describes it as "partial 16S ribosomal RNA". It matches the Rfam family "Bacterial small subunit ribosomal RNA", at positions 32 to 252 of the family's 1533-position model. The record is from RNAcentral.
AAUCAACGCUGGCGGCGUGCCUAACACAUGCAAGUCGAACGCGACUGGGGCUUCGGCCUCAGUUGAGUGGCGAACGGGUGAGUAACACGUGGGUGACCCUACCUUCGAAUGGGGGAUAACGUCCCGAAAGGGACGCUAAUACCGCAUAACAUCCUGCCUUUGAACAGGCGGAGAUCAAAGCCGGGGAUCGCAAGACCUGGCGUUUGAAGAGGGGCCUGCGUCCGAUUAGCUAGUUGG